This 468-nucleotide ribosomal RNA is filed under the name uncultured bacterium. Its description in RNAcentral is "partial 16S ribosomal RNA". It matches the Rfam family "Bacterial small subunit ribosomal RNA", at positions 28 to 507 of the family's 1533-position model. The record is from RNAcentral.
GACGAACGCUGGCGGCGUGCUUAACACAUGCAAGUCGAACGGAAAGGCCCUGCUUUUGUUGCUUGCUCGAGUGGCGAACGGGUGAGUAACACGUGAGUAACCUGCCCUUGACUUUUGGAUAACGUCAGGAGACUGGGGCUAAUACCGGGUAUGAUCUCCUGCUGCAUGGUGUGGGUUGGAAAGUUUCGGCGUUGGGGGAUGGACUCGCUGGUUAUCAGCUUGUUGGGGGGGUAGUUGCUUACAAAGGCUUUGAGGGGUAGCCGGCCUGAGAGGGUGACCGGCCACAUUGGGCCUAAGAUACGGCCCAGUAUCCAAUGGGAGGAAGAGGUGGGGAAUAUUGCACAAUGGGCGGAAGCCUGAUGCAGAAACGCCGCGUGCGGAAUACCGGCCUUCGGGUUGUAAACCGCUUUCGCAUGUGCCGAAGCGUGAGUGACGGUACUGGGUAAAGAAGCACCGGCUAACUACGUG